This 654-nucleotide long non-coding RNA is filed under the name Olea europaea (common olive). RNAcentral's name for it is "long non-coding RNA (OEUR_LNC009720)". Lineage: Eukaryota; Viridiplantae; Streptophyta; Magnoliopsida; Lamiales; Oleaceae. The record is from RNAcentral.
UAAAUUUAAAAAUAAUAAUAAUCAACUGUUAUUAAAUAUUCUAGUGUUUCUAAAAAUUAAAGUACUUCAUGAUGGAGAUCCAUUGGUCCAAUAUGCAUCCAUCCACCGCCGUCCAGCAUACUAAUUUCUACCUGAAAAUUGUAAAUAGAGAGGGAUGAGUAUAACGAAUUAUACUCAAUGAGGUGCUUGCUACUCCACAUUCAAAUCAAACGUGAAAUUAUGCAUAAAUUCUCUUACCAACAUAACAUGAGAAUUAUCACACCAUGACAAAUGAUAAUUCAAGCAAGCGCUGCAAAUAACGUGAAGGCUAAAUUGUGCCUUAAACUGUAUCAUGAUUUCUCCCAAAGGAGCUCUGAACUGAAGUAAUUAAAUCCAUACAUAACAACGUAUUUGAAAAGAUGUGGACAAACCACUAAUAGCACUGAGCAUCUCACCUUUUGAAGAUGAACGUGGAAAACAAAAUUGCUGAAAACGUGAUUCUUUAUUGAAAUUCCAAAUCCUUAAAAAGCCUUAAUAAUAUGGAGAAAUAUUUUUAAAGAGGAGGAGAGAAUAAAGACUUGCAGAAGAAGAAUGAUGAAUUAAUGACUGAAUGCUUGAGGCUUAGUGCUAUAUUUAUACUAAACCACGGUGUAGGGUAAUCACGUGGGGAGUGGA